GAUGAACGCUGGCGGCGUGCCUAAUACAUGCAAGUCGAGCGAACGGACGAGAAGCUUGCUUUUCUGAUGUUAGCGGCGGACGGGUGAGUCACACGUGGAUAACCUACCUAUAAGACUGGGAUCACUUCGGGACACCGGCUCUAAUCCCGUAUAAUAUUUUGAACCGCAUGGUUCAAAAGUGAAAGACGGUCUUGCUGUCACUUCUCGAUGGAUCCCCGCUGCAUUAGCUAGUUGGUAAGGUAACGGCUUACCAAGGCAACUAUGCAUAGCCGACCUGAGGGGGGGAUCGGCGACACUGGAACGGAGACGCGGACAUGACGCCUGCGGGAGGCAGCAGAAGGGAAUCGGCCGCAGUGGGCGAGAGCCUGACGGAGCGAGGGCGCGUGAGAGGUGAAGAUCUUGGGAGCGUGAAGCUGUGUUAUUAGGGAAAAACAGAUGUGGAAGUAACCGAGGAGAGCGUGACGGUAACUAAUAAGAAAGCCACGGCUAACUACGUG
RNAcentral lists this ribosomal RNA (497 nucleotides) under uncultured bacterium. Its description in RNAcentral is "partial 16S ribosomal RNA". It matches the Rfam family "Bacterial small subunit ribosomal RNA", at positions 28 to 507 of the family's 1533-position model. The record is from RNAcentral.